UUAGCUCCGUGGUAGAGCAGUUGCCUGGCAUGCAUGAGGCCCUGGGUUCAAUCCCCAGA
RNAcentral lists this transfer RNA (59 nucleotides) under Ictidomys tridecemlineatus (thirteen-lined ground squirrel). RNAcentral's name for it is "Spermophilus tridecemlineatus (thirteen-lined ground squirrel) tRNA". It matches the Rfam family "tRNA", at positions 7 to 64 of the family's 71-position model. Rfam says of the family: Transfer RNA (tRNA) molecules are approximately 80 nucleotides in length. Their secondary structure includes four short double-helical elements and three loops (D, anti-codon, and T loops). Lineage: Eukaryota; Metazoa; Chordata; Mammalia; Rodentia; Sciuridae. The record is from Rfam by way of RNAcentral.